RNAcentral lists this ribosomal RNA (492 nucleotides) under uncultured bacterium. Its description in RNAcentral is "partial 16S ribosomal RNA". It matches the Rfam family "Bacterial small subunit ribosomal RNA", at positions 29 to 507 of the family's 1533-position model. The record is from RNAcentral.
AGUGAACGCUGGCGGUAGGCCUAACACAUGCAAGUCGAACGGCAGCACAGUAAGAGCUUGCUCUUACGGGUGGCGAGUGGCGGACGGGUGAGGAAUACAUCGGAAUCUACUUUUUCGUGGGGGAUAACGUAGGGAAACUUACGCUAAUACCGCAUACGACCUACGGGUGAAAGCAGGGGAUCUUCGGACCUUUCGCGAUUGAAUGAGCCGAUGUCGGAUUAGCUAGUUGGCGAGGUAAAGGCCCACCAAGGCGACGAUCCGUAGCUGGUCUGAGAGGAUGAUCAGCCACACUGGAACUGAGACACGGUCCAGACUCCUACGGGAGGCAGCAGUGGGGAAUAUUGGACAAUGGGCGCAAGCCUGAUCCAGCCAUACCGCGUGAGUGAAGAAGGCCUUCGGGUUGUAAAGCCCUUUUGUUGGGAAAGAAAAGCAGCAGGUUAAUACCCCGCUGUUCUGACGGUACCCAAAGAAUAAGCACCGGCUAACUUCGUG